AUUUUAGCUAAUGGGCUUUCUAACAAUACAGAAAAUCCAAAUGAUUGAUUCAGGAAGCAGCCGCAAGGUAUUAACCAAUUAGGAUAUGAAUUUACAUUCUUUGUGCAGGCAAGCCCUAACAUUUGGGCAGUCUGCACGGGUGGUGAUCCUUGGGUUCUCUGGCCGGGGUGUUUUUCCUACUUCGCUGGGUGAACCUGACCGACCUGCAAAACUAGGAAGUUUAGAAAUUGGAUUAGUGGCUCGUUAUUUCAAUGUAAAUUUGUUUACAUUCGUCCGUUGUUUAGGUCUUGUUAGGAACAUGGGUCCCUCCAUUGUUUUUUUUCUUAUUAAAGUAAAAAUGCUUUCAGCUGC
Molecule: long non-coding RNA, 351 nt
Filed under: Medicago truncatula (barrel medic)
Lineage: Eukaryota; Viridiplantae; Streptophyta; Magnoliopsida; Fabales; Fabaceae
Description: long non-coding RNA (MTRU_LNC002969)
Source: RNAcentral